Molecule: unclassified non-coding RNA, 337 nt
Filed under: soil metagenome
Description: partial contains 5.8S ribosomal RNA, internal transcribed spacer 2, and large subunit ribosomal RNA
Rfam family: 5.8S ribosomal RNA (bases 1-120)
Source: RNAcentral
GAUGAAGAACGCAGUGAAAUGCGAUAAGUAGUGUGAAUUGCAGAAUUCAGUGAAUCAUCGAAUCUUUGAACGCACAUUGCGCCCCUUGGUAUUCCAUGGGGCAUGCCUGUUCGAGCGUCAUUUGUACCUUCAAGCUCUGCUUGGUGUUGGGUGUUUGUCUCGCCUCUGCGUGUAGACUCGCCUCAAAACAAUUGGCAGCCGGCGUAUUGAUUUCGGAGCGCAGUACAUCUCGCGCUUUGCACCCAUAACGACGACGUCCAAAAGUACAUUUUUACACUCUUGACCUCGGAUCAGGUAGGGAUACCCGCUGAACUUAAGCAUAUCAAUAAGCGGAGGA